RNAcentral lists this non-coding RNA (201 nucleotides) under unclassified sequences. RNAcentral describes it as "manA RNA". It matches the Rfam family "manA RNA". From Rfam's summary of the family: manA RNA has been located in 5'UTR regions of genes of mannose or fructose metabolism. Has been proposed as a cis-regulatory element and as a riboswitch candidate for his complex secondary structure. The record is from RNAcentral.
AUGGGUAAGGGUAACUCUGAAAUCCCAUCUUGUGGCUGAAUCAAUCUAAACUCAGAGAGAUAAAGCAAUAGCACAGAGGUUAUACUCACUUUGACGUAGACUAACCAUCUAUGAGGAGAAUCAACGUAACUGUUGGGUGUUAGGUACAAGGGCAAAAAAAUCUGAGUCGAGAGUUGUUGGUAAUCGCUAAUCCAACAUCCC